This 301-nucleotide ribosomal RNA is filed under the name uncultured bacterium. RNAcentral's name for it is "partial 16S ribosomal RNA". It matches the Rfam family "Bacterial small subunit ribosomal RNA", at positions 509 to 809 of the family's 1533-position model. The record is from RNAcentral.
CAGCAGCCACGGUAACACGUAGGUGGCAAGCGUUGUCCGGAAUUAUUGGGCGUAAAGCGCGCGCAGGCGGCUUCCCAAGUCCCUCUUAAAAGUGCGGGGCUUAACCCCGUGAUGGGAAGGAAACUGGGAAGCUGGAGUAUCGGAGAGGAAAGUGGAAUUCCUAGUGUAGCGGUGAAAUGCGUAGAGAUUAGGAAGAACACCGGUGGCGAAGGUGACUUUCUGGACGAAAACUGACGCUGAGGCGCGAAAGCCAGGGGAGCGAACGGGAUUAGAUACCCGGGUAGUCCCUGUCUCUUAUACA